GUCCCCGUGGCCCUAAUGGAUAAGGGCAUCCGCCUACGAAGCGGGAGAUUGCGGGGUUCGAGUCCCGUCGGAGACU
Molecule: transfer RNA, 76 nt
Organism: Phytophthora infestans T30-4
Lineage: Eukaryota; Oomycota; Peronosporomycetes; Peronosporales; Peronosporaceae
Rfam family: tRNA
About the family: Transfer RNA (tRNA) molecules are approximately 80 nucleotides in length. Their secondary structure includes four short double-helical elements and three loops (D, anti-codon, and T loops).
Source: Rfam